Molecule: long non-coding RNA, 757 nt
Organism: Syngnathus acus (greater pipefish)
Lineage: Eukaryota; Metazoa; Chordata; Actinopteri; Syngnathiformes; Syngnathidae
Exons: 2
Source: RefSeq, a predicted model, not a curated record
CACAGACGGGCGAAGGGGUAUUGGCCACGCUGCUGUUCCAGGCCGGCUGGCUGACGGGGUGCUGCAGCUGAUGCUGCCACGAGGGCUGUGGUAAGGCGGUGCUGGAUAGUGUUCUUUGGAGUUAAAAAAGGCCUCCGUCUCAGAGCGAGGAAUGCCCAUGCGUUGAAUAUACACAUGGACCAGAAAAUCCAGCUUUCUGUCCAUGCAGACCACCUGCAGGCAGAAGCAAAGCACACACAUCAGGAGAAGUUUCGAAGGCUCCAACCGGAGCAGCUGUCCUCACCUGUUUCUCAACUUUGACCAGACGUCCCAUCAUGCUUGGGUCCUCUGAAGACUCCGCCUCACCUUUUGAAGCUUUACCCACUAUUUGGUCAACUCUAGCAUUGGAAAAUGUCAGAUCUGAGGUUACAAAUAUUUUACAGUCCUGCAUAUAGUAAAGUAAUUGGUAAUUUGUGGGUUUUCUGGUCUAAGAUCAUCUCGUAGUGCUGUCUAACAUAUGUCCAAAUUUGGUGAUUUUUUUCUAAACUUGGGAUUUUUUUAUUGGACAGUAACAGUGGUUGUUAAACUUCAAGUUAGCCAAAAAAAUGUAUGGUGUUGAGUGACUAUUUGUUGUUGUUUGUAUAACGAAAACUCCACAAAGACUACCUUAGAAAGAGACAAAAUUGUGACUUAUUUUUACAUGGUAAACGUAUGAAAACAGCAUUUAAUUUGAUGUUGUCAUGCUAAUGAUGAAUAAACUGAUGACAAAAUAACUGAA